Molecule: long non-coding RNA, 359 nt
Filed under: Triticum aestivum (bread wheat)
Lineage: Eukaryota; Viridiplantae; Streptophyta; Magnoliopsida; Poales; Poaceae
Description: long non-coding RNA (TAES_LNC003073)
Source: RNAcentral
AAAUUCGUGCGGUAAGUUCAGAUGAUCAACAAACCAUGCAAGAGGCAGAAACGAGCUAUACCCGAAUCCAAAUAAGCAUGUCGCAAUCACUUGCAGGAAAAUCACUUUUAACCACUACAAUUAAACUCACUCAACUUGCAAUCAGCAUCGUACAGGUCAUGGUAGAACAUACGGCAAUAACAGAGGGCUGUAUCACAGCUCGCCUAAUCUGUAAAAUUAGGAGUAAUCGUACAGGGAGAUGCUCUUGUCAUCUGAAGCGCUGGCGAGACGGCCAGCACGGACUCCUUCCCCUCCCGGUGGCCGGAAUGCAACGGCCCAGACCUGGUCUGAGUGGUUGCUCAUGGUCUGAACUGACGCCC